RNAcentral lists this unclassified non-coding RNA (319 nucleotides) under Hevea brasiliensis (rubber tree). The record is from RNAcentral. Lineage: Eukaryota; Viridiplantae; Streptophyta; Magnoliopsida; Malpighiales; Euphorbiaceae.
ACCAACUUAUUAGCAUCGAGAAUGUCAAAGAGAUUCAGCGUCCGCGGCGUCAGCAUCUUCAGAGUGCCAAUAUUCCUGCAGGACAGCCGGACAUUGUCCGGCACAUCCAUCAUCAAGAAGGUCGCCUUCUCCCUCGGAUCCAACCCCCACCGCCUCAUCGCCUCCACAAAAUCCCUCGUCUUCGGUCCCGAUUCAAACUGCUCGUCGAAAUCUUCAACAACAAGGGCAUCCGAGGCAGCUGCCGCGCUGGCGAGGGCGGUGGAGAUGGCGAGGCGCUUCUCCUUGCGGUUGAUCUUGAUUGUCCAGUCGCGGGGCUUGG